GUCCCUGUAGCUCAGUUGGUAGAGCAUGGUGUUUGCAACGCCAGGGUUGUGGGUUUCAUUCCCACGGGGGACC
Non-coding RNA from Salmo salar (Atlantic salmon), 73 nucleotides. The record is from Rfam. NCBI's taxonomy places the organism in Eukaryota, Metazoa, Chordata, Actinopteri, Salmoniformes, Salmonidae.